CUAACUGAGGACGCUAGAGAGAGCAAGGGCUUCGGAGCAUCUGGAACUGGGUUCGCGUUCCAGCUCUGCCUCCCACCAGCUGGGAGGCUGUGGGCGAGGCCCCUUGCUUCCCUGGGCUUCCAUUAAGUAGGCGAGCGGCACUCACCAUGCCACGGAGGACGAGUCGGAGUCAGCGUCCUCUUUGUUUUCCACUGACGGCAGCAGGACCCCAAGGAGCUGGGCUCCACGCUCAGCCCAGCCCCAGGGGUGCAGGUCCUCCUCUGCCCGAGCCCUGGCCGAGCUCUGCGCUUCCCCGCGCACUCAGGCCAGGCAUCUCCCCAACUCAGGACUCACAGCUGCAUUCCCUUUGUGGUUUUCUCAGCUCUUGGAAAUUUGGGGGGACUGGGGUGGGUCUGUCAGUUUACAGACCCUCCACCUAGAAGCCAGACUGCCCGGAUCCACCCAGCGACAGCAGAAGACACCCCACUGAAGCUGGGCCACAGAGGAAGCCAAAGCAGAGCGUCGAAAACACUCACGUGCACACGAGUCCCCAGGGAGAUCCUGCUUCAGCCAGUGUGGCUGGGGCACUGCACCGCAGACCACACUGAGGAGCAAGCCCCAGCGAUCAGCCUGAGACCCUGGACUUGGCCUCAAAAGCUGAGUGACCCUGGCUCCUACGGAGUUAACAGAUGUACGCACGUCUGAGGCAGUCAUGCGGCAAGAGACUUUGGGGCCAAUCCUUCCCGUUUUGACAGUGUGUAAUCGAGGUGAAGCCAUAAAUUUUAUAAACAAGAGUAAACGACCCUCAGCAACAUAUGGAUGCUCGACCCUUCCAAGAUGAAGAAGCAAGUCCAAAGGAAGACGGAACUACUUGCCCAGAGUCGUGAUGCUAGGAAGUAACAGAGCUGGUCUUGGACCCACGUCUGCCUGAAGCUGACGCCCAUGCCGAGCGUCUGACUGUUGCUCACACUCCCGUGCUCCUUCUCACGCCACAAGCCUGGGGCUCCGCAGAGCCAGCAGUGAGGCCGCUGGAGCAGGCAGCCCUGUGCACGGAUUCACUCCCGAAGUGGGUGCUGCACUGGCGAACUGAGAGCAGAGGUUCUUCCCCGGGGCUUCCACGGGUUGUACGCAGACUGCGAACACGUGUCUUUGUGUCUGUCUAGGGAGAGGAUGCACAGAGCCUUCAUCAGAAGUUUGUGAAUCUGUGGAGUGGGAGAGCACCGGGACACCCCCAAAGUUCCUGGGUGUCCCCCAACCUUCCAAAUCCUGGUGUCCCCAGCCAGCUCACCUCCUGCCUCUGCUUGCGCCCAAGCACUGUCUUCCACGAUGGACUCCAGAGAAGAAAAGUGACAGGUCAAGGCAAAUGAACACUGCACCCUGGCCAGGCUGCAAAGGGGGCCUCAGUCCUCUCCCUAAGCAAGGUCGGACCAGCCUGGGUCCAGUAUCGCCAGUGGGCCUGGUCUGAAGGGAGGGGUGAGCCACAAAUCCUCCCAAGGCGCUGAUUUAUGUAGCAUUCA
Eubalaena glacialis (North Atlantic right whale) is the source of this 1496-nucleotide long non-coding RNA. RefSeq lists it as uncharacterized. Lineage: Eukaryota; Metazoa; Chordata; Mammalia; Artiodactyla; Balaenidae. The record is from RefSeq and is a predicted model, not a curated record. The transcript has 3 exons.